AAAAACUUUAAGUGUUAAAAAUUAUAAAGUAAUGUAAGUAAAACAUUAUACUUAUAAAUCAUAAAUCUGAAGAUCGAAAAUAUGUCUAAAAUGAUCCCACUUGUUUAUGUUAUGAUUAUCAUUCUUUCUCUAUUUCUUGUCGUAACGAGCAUUAGCAGUAAGCAUUUUUCCUUUUAAAUUCGACUCUUUACUUCAUACAUAAUAUUUUAUCAUGCUUUCGUAUUUUAUCUUAAUUAUCUAAUGUUUGUUUUUAUUCCCUUUUUUUGUCAUAGCGGUGGGUGAAAAAUGUUUAACAAAUACGGAUUGUGAAUGCGACCCUCCUUUGAUAGCUUUUUGUAUAUUUAAAAAGUGUAUGUGUCAACCAAAACUAUUCGACAACAUACGAUUACCAAACCCAUAGGGGUUAAAAAGAAGCUCAACUAUAGUAUUAAAUAAGCUGUCAUUAGUUAUGGCAUUUCCAUCUUAUAAUUUGAUUUUCAUAUAGUUUGUUGUUUUUCAUAUUUCAUGGACCUUGUAGUUAAUUUUUGUACUACAAAAUGAUGUUAAAUGAAAUAAAAUAAGUUAUCGUUUUUUCUUUACAAUCUUAUUGUCUAUUAGAAUAUUUAUGUUGAAAAUAUUUUUAGGUUUUUAAGCCUAUCAUUUUAAAAUUUCUCUUAUGAUAUUCU
RNAcentral lists this long non-coding RNA (665 nucleotides) under Lathyrus oleraceus (garden pea). RNAcentral describes it as "Pisum sativum (pea) long non-coding RNA (PSAT_LNC008978)". Lineage: Eukaryota; Viridiplantae; Streptophyta; Magnoliopsida; Fabales; Fabaceae. The record is from RNAcentral.